AAGCUUCUUUACAUGUAUGGCCGAUGUUGAAUAUUUGCCGCAGGCAAAGAAUCUGAAGAGAGCCGAUGUGUUGAUCUUCAGUAUCUCAACAGCUAUAAUCAUGCACUGUUAUGCACAGGAAAGGGAAGUGUUCCGGUCCAAGUACCUUAAUGUUCUAGACUGGGUUUUCGGUGUACCUCCUUCCCCUGGUGAAACACCACGACGCAAAGAGAGUUGAAAGCGUAUACGGGGCUCUUGAGUUCAUCAGAGGCUUACAGUUUUCUAAUUUAAAUUUGCC
RNAcentral lists this unclassified non-coding RNA (277 nucleotides) under Hevea brasiliensis (rubber tree). The record is from RNAcentral. Lineage: Eukaryota; Viridiplantae; Streptophyta; Magnoliopsida; Malpighiales; Euphorbiaceae.